GUGUAAGGCUGCGUUAAGCCUCGGGGAGUUGUCAAUUGAGCGUUGAUCCGAGGAUGUCCGAAUGGGGAAACCCACCUAUCGUUAUGGGUAGGUACCCACUGGUGAAUUCAUAGCUGGUGUGGGGGUUAUACGUGGGGAAGUGAAACAUCUUAGUACCUGCAGGAGGAGAAAAUAAUAAUGAUUCUGCUAGUAGCGGCGAGCGAACGUGGAUGAGGCUAAACCGUGUGUAUGUGAUACCUGGUAGGGGUUGUGCAUGCGGUGUUGUGGGGCCAUGAUUUUUUGUAUCUACCAGUACAAAGCGCGCAGUGUGUUGUUAGGUGAAGUGGGUUGGAAUGCCCGGCCGUAGAAGGUGAGAGCCCUGUAGGUGAAGAUAGUAUGCUGUGUGUGUUGUGGUGCCCGAGUAGCAGCGGGCUCGUGGAAUCUGCUGUGAAUCUGCCGGGACCACCCGGUAAGCCUAAAUACUCAGUGUGACCGAUAGUGUAUGAGUACCGUGAGGGAAUGGUGAAAAGUACCCCGGGAGGGGAGUGAAAUAGUUCCUGAAACCAUGUGUCUACAAUCCGUCAGAGCCUCUUUUGUUGGGUGAUGGCGUGCCUUUUGAAGAAUGAGCCUGCGAGUCAGCGGCAUGUCGCGAGGUUAACCCGUGUGGGGUAGCCGUAGGGAAACCGAAUCCUAACUAGGGUGUUUCAGUGGCAUGUUCUGGACCCGAAGCGGGGUGAUCUACCCAUGGCCAGUGUGAAGCGAUGGUAAGACGUCGUGGAGGCGCGAACCCACGUAGGUUGAAAACUGCGGGGAUGAGUUGUGGGUAGGGGUGAAAGGCCAAUCAAACUCCGUGAUAGCUGGUUCUCCCCGAAAUGCAUUUAGGUGCAGCGUCGUAGUAACUUGGUGGAGGUAGAGCUACUGGUUGGUUGAGCGGGACUAUCAUCUUAGCAACAUCAGCCAAACUCCGAAUGCCAUCAAUGUGUUCUACGGCAGUGAGACUGUGGGGGAUAAGCUUCAUAGUCGAGAGGGAAACAGCCCAGAUCGCCGGUUAAGGCCCCUAAGGGUGUGCUAAGUGGAAAAGGAUGUAAGAUCGCGAAGACAGCCAGGAGGUUGGCUUAGAAGCAGCCAUCCUUGAAAGAGUGCGUAAUAGCUCACUGGUCGAGUGGUUUUGCGCCGACAAUGUAGUGGGGCUCAAGCACACCGCCGAAGCCGCGGCAAAUAUUUUUGAUAUUUGGGUAGGGGAGCGUCGUGCAUGGGUUGAAGCGUUACCGUGAGGAGGCGUGGACUGUGUGCGAGUGAGAAUGCAGGCAUGAGUAACGAAUUGAACAGUGAGAAUCUGUUCCGCCGGAUGACUAAGGGUUCCUGGGUCAAGUUCGUCUUCCCAGGGUGAGUCGGGACCUAAGGCGAGGCCGACAGGCGUAGUCGAUGGACAACCAGUUGAUAUUCUGGUACCCGUAUAUGCGCGCCCGUGGUAAAGCAUUGAUACUAACCACCCACAAGCAUGUGCCUUUUAUCCUUCGGGAUUGUUGGUGUGUGUGCGUGCGUGGGGCCUGAAAUGUGGUCCAAGCGAUGGGGUGACACAGGGAGGUAGCCUUGCCACUUAUUGGAUUGUUGGUGUAAGCGUGCAAGCCGAGUGAUAGGUAAAUCCGUCGCUCAAUAGGCUUAGGCGUGAUGCGUAGCCUUUAUUGGUGAAGUUGGUGAUCCUGUACUGUCGAGAAAAGCCUCUAGCGAUGUGUGUAUAUGGCCCGUACCCUAAACCGACACAGGUAGUCAGGUUGAAAAUACUAAGGCGUUCGGGUGAACUGUGGUUAAGGAAUUCGGCAAAAUGCCCCCGUAACUUCGGAAGAAGGGGGACCCACCAAAGUGAGCAUACUUGCUAUGUGAGCUUGGGUGGGUCGCAGAGAAUAGAGGGAAGCGACUGUUUAUCAAAAACACAGGUCCAUGCGAAGACGUUAAGUUGAGGUAUAUGGACUGACGCCUGCCCGGUGCUGGAAGGUUAAGAGGACCGGUUAGAGACUUUCGGGUUUCGAAGCUGAGAAUUUAAGCCCCAGUAAACGGCGGUGGUAACUAUAACCAUCCUAAGGUAGCGAAAUUCCUUGUCGGGUAAGUUCCGACCUGCACGAAUGGCGUAACGACUUCUCUGCUGUCUCAACCACAGGCCCGGUGAAAUUGCACUACGAGUAAAGAUGCUCGUUACGCGCGGCAGGACGAAAAGACCCCGGGACCUUCACUAUAGCUUGGUAUUGGUGUUCGGUUCGGUUUGUGUAGGAUAGGUGGGAGACUGUGAAGCUGCAACGCUAGUUGUGGUGGAGUCGUUGUUGAAAUACCACUCUGAUCGGAUUGGAUACCUGAACCUUGGCCCAUGAUCUGGGUUGGGGACAGUGCCUGGUGGGUAGUUUAACUGGGGCGGUUGCCUCCUAAAAUGUAACGGAGGCGCCCAAAGGUUCCCUCAGCCUGGUUGGCAAUCAGGUGGUGAGUGUAAGUGCACAAGGGAGCUUGACUGUGAGACUGACAGGUCGAGCAGGGACGAAAGUCGGGACUAGUGAUCCGGCACCUACUUGUGGAAGUGGUGUCGCUCAACGGAUAAAAGGUACCCCGGGGAUAACAGGCUGAUCUUCCCCAAGAGUCCAUAUCGACGGGAUGGUUUGGCACCUCGAUGUCGGCUCGUCGCAUCCUGGGGCUGGAGUAGGUCCCAAGGGUUGGGCUGUUCGCCCAUUAAAGCGGCACGCGAGCUGGGUUCAGAACGUCGUGAGACAGUUCGGUCUCUAUCCGCCGCGCGCGUUGAAACUUGAAGAAGGCUGUCCCUAGUACGAGAGGACCGGGACGGACGUACCUCUGGUGUGCCAGUUGUUCCGCCAGGAGCAUUGCUGGUUGGCUACGUACGGAAGGGAUAACCGCUGAAAGCAUCUAAGCGGGAAGCCUGUUUUAAGAUGAGGUUUCUGUUGAGGUUCCCUAGAGACUAUAGGGUUGAUAGGCCAGACCUGUACGCAUUGUAAAAUGUUAAGGCUACUGGUACUAAUACACCAACAAACAAACACAC
RNAcentral lists this ribosomal RNA (3019 nucleotides) under Corynebacterium casei UCMA 3821. Its description in RNAcentral is "bacterial LSU rRNA". It matches the Rfam family "Bacterial large subunit ribosomal RNA". The record is from RNAcentral. Lineage: Bacteria; Bacillati; Actinomycetota; Actinomycetes; Mycobacteriales; Corynebacteriaceae.